RNAcentral lists this non-coding RNA (872 nucleotides) under Neofelis diardi (Sunda clouded leopard). The record is from RNAcentral. Lineage: Eukaryota; Metazoa; Chordata; Mammalia; Carnivora; Felidae.
CAAAGGUUUGGUCCUAGCCUUUCCACUAGUUGUUAAAAAGAUUACACAUGCAAGUCUUAGCACCCCGGUGAAAAUGCCCUCUAAAUCACCAGUGAUCAAAAGGAGCAGGUAUCAAACACACUAAAAUGUGGCUCAUAAUACCUUCUUUAACCACAACCCCACAGGAUACAGCAGUGAUAAAAAUUAAGCCAUGAACGAAAGUUAGACUAAGCUAUAUUAAACAGGGUUGGUAAAUUUUGCGCCAGCCAUGGUGGUCAUAUGAUUAACCCAAAUUAAUAGACUUAGGGUGUAAAGUGUGUUAAAGAGAACCCUGCACUAAAGUUAAAUCUUAACUAGGUUGUAAAAAGCUACAAUUAAUAUAAAAAUAAGUCACAAAAAUGACUUUAAUUCCUCCUGUUACACUAUAGGUAAGGCCCAAACUGGGAUUAGAUACCCCACUAUGGGUGCUUUAUAUCUCUCUAGAGGAGCCUGUUCUGUAAUCAAUAAACCCCAAUAUACCUCAGUACCCCUUGCCAAUUCAGUCUAUAUAUUGCCAUCUUCAGCAAACCCUACAAAGAAAGAAAAGUAAUAACAACUAUCAUAUAUCAAAAAGUUAGGUCAAGGUGUAACUCAUGAGGUAGGAAGAAAUGGGCUACAUUUUCUACAUAAAAACACAAUUCCCUAUGAAAAUUCUUAUGAAACUGAGAACUAAAGGAGGAUUUAGUAGUAAAUUAAGAAUAGAGAGCUUAACUGAAUUGGGCCAUGAAGAAAGCACACACUACCCGUCACUCUCAAGUGACAUWAACCUAAAGACAACUUAUUCAAAUAACAAAAACACAAGAGGAGAUAAGUCAUACCAAGGUAAGCAUACUGGAAAGUAUGCACGGAUAAAC